RNAcentral lists this ribosomal RNA (933 nucleotides) under uncultured bacterium. Its description in RNAcentral is "bacterial SSU rRNA". It matches the Rfam family "Bacterial small subunit ribosomal RNA", at positions 57 to 1000 of the family's 1533-position model. The record is from RNAcentral.
GCAGUCGAACGGAAGGCCCUGCUUUUGUGGGGUGCUCGAGUGGCGAACGGGUGAGUAACACGUGAGUAACCUGCCCUUGACUUUGGGAUAACUUCAGGAAACUGGGGCUAAUACCGGAUAGGAGCUCCUGCUGCAUGGUGGGGGUUGGAAAGUUUCGGCGGUUGGGGAUGGACUCGCGGCUUAUCAGCUUGUUGGUGGGGUAGUGGCUUACCAAGGCUUUGACGGGUAGCCGGCCUGAGAGGGUGACCGGCCACAUUGGGACUGAGAUACGGCCCAGACUCCUACGGGAGGCAGCAGUGGGGAAUAUUGCACAAUGGGCGGAAGCCUGAUGCAGCAACGCCGCGUGCGGGAUGACGGCCUUCGGGUUGUAAACCGCUUUCGCCUGUGACGAAGCGUGAGUGACGGUAAUGGGUAAAGAAGCACCGGCUAACUACGUGCCAGCAGCCGCGGUGAUACGUAGGGUGCGAGCGUUGUCCGGAUUUAUUGGGCGUAAAGGGCUCGUAGGUGGUUGAUCGCGUCGGAAGUGUAAUCUUGGGGCUUAACCCUGAGCGUGCUUUCGAUACGGGUUGACUUGAGGAAGGUAGGGGAGAAUGGAAUUCCUGGUGGAGCGGUGGAAUGCGCAGAUAUCAGGAGGAACGCCAGUGGCGAAGGCGGUUCUCUGGGCCUUUCCUGACGCUGAGGAGCGAAAGCGUGGGGAGCGAACAGGCUUAGAUACCCUGGUAGUCCACGCUGUAAACGGUGGGUACUAGGUGUGGGGUCCAUUCCACGGGUUCCGUGCCGUAGCUAACGCUUUAAGUACCCCGCCUGGGGAGUACGGCCGCAAGGCUAAAACUCAAAGGAAUUGACGGGGCCCCGCACAAGCGGCGGAGCAUGCGGAUUAAUUCGAUGCAACGCGUAGAACUUUACCUGGGUUUGACAUGCAUCGGGAGUGCU